Molecule: long non-coding RNA, 275 nt
Organism: Photinus pyralis (common eastern firefly)
Lineage: Eukaryota; Metazoa; Arthropoda; Insecta; Coleoptera; Lampyridae
Exons: 3
Source: RefSeq, a predicted model, not a curated record
UGAUAAGAGAAAGGUUUGAAGAGUGUGUCUCUUUCAGCCAGAUUGAGGCGGCGGCUUCCUUAGGGAUGGUCGGCGGUCCACGAGUACUUAUUCCCAGGGGCUUCGGAUUUAUCACCUUCGCCGACCCAGCUAGCGUAGAUAAGGUAUUAGCUCAAGGCACUCACGAGCUAGAUGGUAAAAAGAUUGACCCCAAAGUAGCAUUUCCACGAAGAGCACAUCCAAAGGUGAGUUUUUUUUGUCUUUUUUAAAAGGGAAAGUGUAUGAACAUUAAAUAA